Paramisgurnus dabryanus is the source of this 4411-nucleotide long non-coding RNA. RefSeq lists it as uncharacterized. Lineage: Eukaryota; Metazoa; Chordata; Actinopteri; Cypriniformes; Cobitidae. The record is from RefSeq and is a predicted model, not a curated record.
UUUCCUGAAAACUAAAGGGACAUCCGGAAUCCCAAGGGAGCGCGGGAAACCUGCCGGUGUGUAAAGAAAGGGGCGACUGAAGCCAGGAGGGGGAAGGGGAGCAUCGUACGGAGGCGGGUAAGUCCAAUCUUGUUUUUUUCCGCGGUUCAAAUGCCAUAUUAUCUGCUUGCUAAUUCUGUUUUUUUCUGACGCUGAUGUGUGUGAAAGGGAAAGAAACGCUCUAUGCAAUGAAGAACUUGCUUUGCUUGAUGUUGAACGAGAGGCAUACUCUAAACUGCCUCUCGAAGAAAUAAUGGUUGAGGGACAGGCAUUGUUGUUUUUUAUGGUAGACUCUGGUGCAACCAACUCUGUCAUACGCAAAGAUGAAUUCCCAUUUGUCACCUUGAGUGGGCAGUUUAACUCAUCUAUGAGUGCUACGGGGCAUAUAGUGAGGGAAGAAUUUACUGCUCCACUCUGUUGUAUGCAUGACGGUAACGAGUUUAUGCAUAUGUUCCUCUUAUCUGACGCGUGUCCGGUAAACCUCAUGGGGAGGGAUUUGAUGUGUAAAAUUAAUGCUAGCAUCUUAUGUAACAACCAAGGCCUGAAUAUUUCUUGUUGGGAUCCCAGAAUGUCAUCUAUGUGUAUGUCUCUGUUAUAUGUGUACUGUAUGAAUGGGCCUUUCUGAAUGAAGAGUUGCAUGCUGAAGGGAAGAUAAGAUUGCCACAAGCCAGCGAGGUCAUUCCAGCUGAAAACAUGCAUUGCACAAGCUCAUGUUGUUGACAUAACAGAAAGAGAGUGGCAAGAGAGAUGGUUUUCUGUAAAGACAGAGGGUUUUGACUUUAACCCAUAUAUGCUGGAAUGACUCAUGGUGUGUGGCACUCGUUCAAAUUGACAGAAAAGCAAGAACAAAUUUUUGAUGUUGAAAAUUCGGUACCCCAUGUUUCUAUUGCAAAAAAUACCAGUCAGCCAUGGGAAAAGCAGGUGAAUUUGCAAAAGCCUGCAGCGAGGCUGUUGAUUGGGAAAUGUUGUCAGAUAACGUGCAGUUCUCAGAGCAGAUAACGGCACACAGAAGAGAUUAUGCUGCUUUUUCAUGGCUGAGAGAGAGAGAGUUGUAAUACAGAAAGCUGUUUCUGCAGAUUUCAACUCACAAAACAGUUUGUCAGUACACAUGACGUGUGCUAGUAUUGAUUUACCGCAAAAAGUUCUUGACAAUGUACCUGAUUACCUGUGGGCUAAAGACAAGUAUGAUGUGGGCUUGAUUAAAGGGUGUGAACCAGUAACUAUCACCCCAAAGAGUGAUUAUAGACCAUGUAAACCUCAAUAUCCUCUGAAAAGGGAGGCGCUUGAGGGGAUAAGGCCAGUAUUUUAGGCAUUAUUGGGAUAAUUAUUCCCUGCCCACACUCACCUGUGAGAACACCCAUUUUUCCUGUACAAAAGGUCAGGGAUGCAGGUCAGCCCACAGAGUGGAGGUUUGUUCAAGAUCUCCAAGCAGGAAAUGCUGUGGUACAAGCAAGAGCACCUCACGUGCCAAACCCUUACACAAUUCUCUCACAGAUACCAGCUGAUGGCCAGUGGUUUUCAGUGUAGUGGAUAUUUUCAAGUGCAUUCUUCAGAGUUCCUGUCCAUUCUGAUAGCCAGUUUUGGUUUGAUUUUACAUUUAAGGGGUAUAGCGAGAGCUGCACUAUUUACAAACUCUGCAUUGCAUUGUUCAUUACAGAAACUUGUGUUGGAUGAUGAUGUUGCUUUAUUGCAGUACGUGGAUGACCUCUUGGUGCCAGCACCGACUCAGCAAUCGUGCACAGACAACACCAAACGGCUGCUUACUCAUCUAGCUAAGGAAGGUCAUAAGGUAAACCAUAAUAAAGUCCAGUGCUCAGUCCAGAAAGUAACCUUUCUAGGAUAUGAAAUUAAACCAAUGGGUAAGUCUCUCUCUCCAAAGAGAAUAGAGGCAAUAGCUAAUAUACCAAAACCCAUCACAAAGAAACAAGUAAUGUAAUUUUUGGGCAUGACAUCAUAUUGCAGGACUUUUUAUUGCUAAUUAUUCUGAGAUGCAACAACCAUUGCAUGACAUGAUUUAUGAGAAACCUUUGGCACCAUCAGAGAAGGUAGGAUGGACAGAGAAGGCUGAAAGGGCAUUUGUGGAACUAAAACAGACAUUACAGCAGGCACCCACUUUGGGGUUGCCAGAUCCAAAAAAGCCUUUUAUUCAAACUGUGGAUGAAAGAAAUGGCUGUAUGACCUCUGUUUUGUUACAAGAACAUGGUGACAAGUUGAGACCAGUUGCAUAUUUUUCAGGACGCCUUGAUGCGGUGGCCAGGGGCCUACCAGGAUGUCUCAGGGCUUGAACAGCGCACAUCUCACUUGUCUGCAGCAAGAUGGCUGCGUUAUUCCUGUGCAUUGUUUCAGAUGUCUAAUGUCACAGUUGAAAGAUGUACAGUGCUAAACCCGGCGACAUUGUUACCUACACCUGAUGAAGGUACACCACAUUGUUGUUUGUCUGCCCUACGGGAAGUAUGCACACCAAGGCCUGACCUUGCUGACACACCCAUACCUAAAUGCACCCUCACAUAUUAUGUGGAUGGUUCCUCUUCCAGAGAUGACAGAGGCAUAGAUAGGAUGGGGUGGGCAGUUGUGUCUGACUUUGAAGUAGUGAAAUCCGGAUGCUUACCACCUCAGAAAUCUUCAAAGGUGGCUGAAUUGCAUGCACUAACACAAGCUUGUCAACUUGCUACUAAUCAAUCUAUAACCAUUUACAUUGACUGCUGAUUUUACUGACAGUUUCUCUCCUAUAACAAAUUUUACUCCUUUCUCAAAUAGCUGUGUGCAAAUGCAAAGCACACACCAAGGAACAGGACGUGAUCUCCAGAGGAAAUGCACGCACGGAUGCGGAAGCAUCUCUCAUGACUACUAACAAAAACGUUUCUUUUACACAGAUUUCCCAGGAAAAGGAAGCCGAAACACCACAGGAGUUACUAAUAAGCAUGCAAACAUUUUCUCUUCCAACAGAAAUAGCUCUAUGGAAAUCGUGUGGAGCAACCAAAACUCCUGAAGGGAUUUGGAUGGGUCCAAAUAAAAAAACCUUGCUUACCUAAACAUUUUUAUUCCCAUUUUGCUAGGUUGACACAUGGGGACCACGGUGACAUGCGAUACUCUUCAAAAUGAAAAUGACAUGUUGCAAUAUUGUAUUUCUAUGUCCUCUGUAUUUCAAAAUAUCUCCAAAGCAGGUUAAAUCAGCCUUACCCCGUCCAGUAGAAGAACCAUUACACAACAUCAAACCAGGGGAUUACGUGGUGGUAAAGAACCUCAGGAGGAAAUCCUGGAAAGCCAGACGGUGGGAGGGGCCAUUUCAGGUUCUGCUGACGACUCACACCGCUGUGAAGGUCGCGGAGCGUGCCACCUGGGUGCACGUUGCCCAUUGCCGGAGGGUUGGUCCUGGACUGCAAGGUGUAAACCAAAGGGAGGACGGCUAGUCGACUGCUACGGACCACUUUUUCGUAUUGGUGGGAACCACAGAUACCUGUAUACUGCAAGUUUAUACGAAGAACGACACGAGAGAACUGCAACAGCUCACAAAGUAUUGGAGGACGACUCCAGUAUUCUGGGUUUGGUUUGGACACACGCACACGACAUCUUUAAUGAUAGCUUGGCACGACUGCACCGUGUGGUCCUACCAAACCCGAACCUACAAAGGAAAUUAAUCAACAAGGGCUCACGACCCCAACUCUAACUGUGCUCAGGGCUCACGACCCCAACUCUAACUGUGCUCAAUCCGGAAUCAUCAAGGGCUCACGACCCCAACUCUAACUGUGCUCAAUUUCUUCAAGAAAACGAACUAUUUUUCUUCUUUCAAAAAUGAGAUUCAUGAUCAUACUAUGUGUGUGUGCAUUUUUACUUUUGCAACUGCACAGAACUAUAUGUACACUAUGGUUAAGGGUAAUAACCAGAGCUACUUAACGAUGACAGUAAAUGAAGUUAUGAAUAAAUCAUAAAAAGGGAGGAGUGUAGUGGAGGAUUUUAUUAUGCUUUCUUUUCAUAUUAUUAUGCUUUAUUUUUCAUCCUAUUUUUCAUUUUUUAAUAACAAUCUGAAGCUCACAAAUUGUGAUUCAUAUGGAAAUCAUGUUUUUCUGCUAACGUACAGAAUUAUGCUCUUUCUGUCUUUUCAGCAAGUACAAUGUCCAAGGAAGGACUUAAACAUCAUGUACCAGCAUGUACUGUCCUUUAUGAUUAUGUUUAACGGUCUUUGCUCUUAAUCACUGACAACUGAAGGCUAUCUUCUAAAUGACGUAGAAACGGAUGAUUGUACGUGUUUCAGCAUCUUACUAUAAAUGUGUCUUCAACCUUGUGAUCGGGGCUCUUAGGUUUUUAAACUUCUUGCACCAUGGGGGUGAGAGCCUAUUCUGCAGAAUAUAUAAAAUUCAGACAAAGAAAAUUC